GGGAGGACCCGAGGCCUGGCGGGGUGAGCCGAGCGAAGCCGAAAAGCUGCGAGAAGUGGCGGAGAGAGCCGAGCCGAGGUUCCGUUGGGAAGAACGGAGAGGCAGUUGAGCGGUAGAGAGCGCGGAGGCUGGCGGCGCCGCACAGGCAUGCCAAGGCGGGGACGGCGGAAAAUGAAGGCGGCUGGGCUGGAAGGAGCCGUGGAGGACGAGCGUGGAGUCUUCCGGGCGCCCGAGCUGCCCCGAGCGCCCCUCGAAGAGGGUCGUGGUCGCCGGUCUCUCCCGCUACCCUCCUCCCCGCUCCUCCGGCCCCGCCGCUGCCCACGGUGCGGGGCGGUCUGGCCGGACAACGGCGUGUCCUCCACCCACGACGAGGACGCGCGUGUCCCCACGGCUGGAUCCUCCGGACUUGAUGGCCCCGUUGAGUUUGGCGCUGAUGUCCCCAGCGGAGACUGACCCCUGGGGGUGCAGCAUCUGACCUGCACUGAGCCCACCUACCCAACACGUGAGGAAGGCCGCUGGGGUGCAGUGACCGCGCCGGCUGACCGGGGGUCUGGGAAGAGGCCCCCCCAUCAUCCAAGACUGAGGCUGGAAUGCAAACUGUGGGCCCCUCCUGACCCUCUGCCCACUUCCAACACCAACGCCGGGUUCUCUUAUUCAUGGUUUUAAUUGUGUGCAACAGAAGGUCUGCCUGAGCCAUGAAGACUGUCUGUGUACUUUGUAUGGCUGCUGCUGACGUCAGCCCUUCAGGUCGCACCUGGCACAAGAAGGUCACUUCCUGCGUGGAUUUCUCCCAUCCCCAGCUUGAGGGCAGAGGAGGUAGUGGGUUGCCAAACGUCUGCCAAAAGUUCCUGUCCACCUGAACCUCGGACUGUGAUCUUAUUUGGAAACAGAGUCUUUGCAGAUGUGGCCUCAAAUCCUGUCAGCUGCUCCUGCCCUGUGACCUCACUCAGCUCCGCUUCCCCCAACUCCAGGUCUGGCAGUGCUGCAGGCCUGGAGAUGCUGCAGUCUCCUGGAUG
RNAcentral lists this long non-coding RNA (1016 nucleotides) under Equus asinus (donkey). RNAcentral describes it as "lncRNA (ENSEASG00005024252.1)". Lineage: Eukaryota; Metazoa; Chordata; Mammalia; Perissodactyla; Equidae. The record is from RNAcentral.